Molecule: non-coding RNA, 1529 nt
Organism: Xenopus laevis (African clawed frog)
Lineage: Eukaryota; Metazoa; Chordata; Amphibia; Anura; Pipidae
Source: the annotation of a RefSeq genome assembly
UCCACCCCUUUCACCCUUAAAUAUCAGUGUUACUGUUUGUCAGCUGUAACACACCCAGACCAACAGCACAGCUCAGUCUACACAAAAAUAUCUUAUCUGCAGGUUUGAGAAUUGUUAAAGCAUGAAGGUUUGUCAGUACUUUCUAAUACUUGCUGUAACUUGUUCAGGUAAAGUUUCAUGUGAUUCAAUUGAUCCAAGCAAUACGUAUUUGCUGGCUAAAGAAGGGGAGAAUGUUACAAUGUCCUGCUCCUUUAUGUCUAACUAUAAAGGGACUAUCUACCUUUACUGGUAUCGCAUGUCUGCUUAUGGAAGGCUUGAAUACAUUCUGCGAAAAGCAAACACAGGUUCCUAUGGUGAUAUUCCACCAUUUUCAUCCUUUGCAAAGGAUAAAUAUUGGUCUGAUUUCAAUUUAACCACCAUUACCCUGACCAUCACUAAACUGAAGCUGGAGGAUUCAACUACCUACCACUGUGCUGUAGAGAGAACACAAUGUCACAGCACUCGUGAGAGUAGCUACAUAAACCUUGCAGAAUAGAGGAAACAGCAGUUAAGCAUUGUUGCAGGAGCUAUAGCUCACAAACUUAUAAGUAAUACAGCAGAGCCUGGUUUUAUAUUUCCUAUGGGACAACCUCAAAGUGGGGUAAAUUCUGGGAAACCUUAAAAUCUGGAAAAAAAAAGUGCCACUUGCCUAUGGAGACAGUGUCAAAUUUGGGAGAACGUAAAACUUGGGGACAUAGAAUACUAUAAAGAAAUAGAAAGGGUAUCGUUGGUCUAUUUAUCAUUUUUAAGAUUGAACAUUUUAAAUAUUUUAUACAGAAAUAAAGUAACAAUAAUAACAAUAAUCAAGGCCAGAAACCUUUUUAUGCUUGGCAAAUAAAAUACAGUUAUUGCACAGUAAGACCAACUGUUAAAAUCCCAGUGCCAUUAGUUUCACGGUGCAAUGAACAUUAAAUGGGCAAACGCAAGUAAUGAACACCAAUGCAGAACUGAAAAUGUAAUAAUGUUACUACGAUUACAAUGAAACCACUGGAAAAGCAAUAAAUGGACCAAAUAAAAAAGCAAUAAAUGGACCAUGCCGGUUCACACUUGUCACACUGUGGAAUGAUACACUUCUUCGGGGAAAAACACUGAUCAUAGUUUUUUUUAAAAGUGAAGUAUGAGUGUGUAUACAUUUGCCAUAUUGUGCAUUUUUUGUUUGUGCCUGCAAAAAACUUGCCCAGGCUUUGCCCUAAAAAGUAUUGUAUUUUUUCAGAAAAGAUGGCAACCCUACCUUUAAUUACAUAUGCUAUAAACAACAGGGACAUGCUUAAAUUUUAUCUUAGGCCUUACCCAAAGCUAUUUUAAUGCUAACUUGGGCUAGGCAGACCAAACGGGUUUAAUAUCCAGCUAGUGAUUAGAGCAUGGGUUACAUUUGACUCUAACACUUCAGGCAGGGCUUUUCGCUGAGAAUACAGGUGUGGUGUAGUGUGACUACAACUCCCCCAGGCAAUAAAAAUAGAAAGAUUGGACACCAGGAGGUUCUUGCAGUG